ACAAGCGGUGGAGCAUGUGGUUAAUUCGACGCAACGCGAAGAACCUUACCAGGGCUUGACAUCCCUGACUGCGUAUGAAAGUACGUUUUCACCUUCGGGAGACAGGGAGACAGGUGGUGCAUGGUUGUCGUCAGCUCGUGUCGUGAGAUGUUGGGUUAAGUCCCGCAACGAGCGCAACCCCUACGUUUAGUUGCUAACGGGUGAAGCUGAGCACGUCUAGACGAACUGCCGUUGACAAAACGGAGGAAGGUGGGAUGACGUCAAAUCAUCAUGCCCCUUAUGUUCUGGGCUACACACGUGCUACAAUGGCCGGUACAGACGGAGGCGAAGCCGCGAGGCGGAGCAAAUCCGAAAAAGCCGGUCUCAGUUCGGAUUGCAGGCUGCAAUUCGCCUGCAUGAAGUCGGAAUCGCUAGUAAUCGCAGGUCAGCAUACUGCGGUGAAUACGUUCCCGGGCCUU
RNAcentral lists this ribosomal RNA (458 nucleotides) under uncultured Pelotomaculum sp. Its description in RNAcentral is "bacterial SSU rRNA". It matches the Rfam family "Bacterial small subunit ribosomal RNA", at positions 925 to 1382 of the family's 1533-position model. The record is from RNAcentral. Lineage: Bacteria; Bacillati; Bacillota; Clostridia; Eubacteriales; Desulfotomaculaceae.